UACAGAGGUCUCAAGCGUUGUUCGGAUUCAUUGGGCGUAAAGGGUGCGUAGGCGGCGCGGUAAGUCGGGUGUGAAAUCUCGGAGCUUAACUCCGAAACUGCAUUCGAUACUGCCGUGCUUGAGGACUGGAGAGGAGACUGGAAUUUACGGUGUAGCGGUGAAAUGCGUAGAUAUCGUAAGGAAGACCAGUGGCGAAGGCGGGUCUCUGGACAGUUCCUGACGCUGAGGCACGAAGGCCAGGGGAGCAAACGGGAUUAGA
This 259-nucleotide ribosomal RNA is filed under the name uncultured bacterium. RNAcentral describes it as "partial 16S ribosomal RNA". It matches the Rfam family "Bacterial small subunit ribosomal RNA", at positions 524 to 782 of the family's 1533-position model. The record is from RNAcentral.